GAUGAACGCUGGCGGCGUGCCUAAUACAUGCAAGUCGAGCGAACGGACGAGAAGCUUGCUUCUCUGAUGUUAGCGGCGGACGGGUGAGUAACACGUGGAUAACCUACCUAUAAGACUGGGAUAACUUCGGGAGACCGGAGCUAAUACCGGAUGAUAUUUUGAACCGCAUGGUUCAAAAGUGAAAGACGGUCUUGCUGUCACUUAGAGAUGGAUCCGCGCUGCAUUAGCUAGUUGGUAAGGUAACGGCUUACCAAGGCAACGAUGCAUAGCCGACCUGAGAGGGUGAUCGGCCACACUGGAACUGAGACACGGUCCAGACUCCUACGGGAGGCAGCAGUAGGGAAUCUUCCGCAAUGGGCGAAAGCCUGACGGAGCAACGCCGCGUGAGUGAUGAAGGUCUUCGGAUCGUAAAACUCUGUUAUUAGGGAAGAACAUAUGUGUAAGUAACUGUGCACAUCUUGACGGUACCUAAUCAGAAAGCCACGGCUAACUUCGUG
Molecule: ribosomal RNA, 497 nt
Filed under: uncultured bacterium
Lineage: Bacteria
Description: partial 16S ribosomal RNA
Rfam family: Bacterial small subunit ribosomal RNA
Source: RNAcentral